Molecule: ribosomal RNA, 1243 nt
Filed under: metagenome
Description: bacterial LSU rRNA
Rfam family: Bacterial large subunit ribosomal RNA
Source: RNAcentral
UGAAUACGAGAUGCUACGGCGUCGAAGCAGUGUAUGUCAGACUUCCAAGAAAAGCUCGCAAUGUCAUAAAUAAAGAAUGCCUGUACCAUAACCGACACAGGUGGGUAGGUAGAGUAUACUAAGGGGCGCGAGAUAACUCUCUCUAAGGAACUCGGCAAAAUAACUCCGUAACUUCGGGAGAAGGAGUGCCUUCUAUUAGAAGGUUGCAAUAACAAGAUCCAAGCAACUGUUUAUCAAAAACACAGGUCUCCGCUAAGUCGUAAGACGAUGUAUGGGGGCUGACGCCUGCCCAGUGCCAGAAGGUUAAAGAAGUUGGUUAGCUUUGGCGAAGCUGAUGACUGAAGCCCUGGUGAACGGCGGCCGUAACAAUAACGGUCCUAAGGUAGCGAAAUUCCUUGUCGGGUAAGUUCCGACCCGCACGAAAGGCGUAAUGAUUUGGAUACUGUCUCGGAGAGGGACUCGGUGAAAUAGACUUGUCUGUGAAGAUGCGGACUACCUGCACCAGGACAGAAAGACCCUAUGAAGCUUUACUGUAACUUGAAAUUGAAAUUGGACUUUAUUUGCGCAGCGUAGGUGGAAGGCGUUGAGAUUACUCUUGCGGGAGUACUGGAGCCAUCAGUGAGAUACCACUCCUAUAAUGUUAGAUUUCUAACUUUGGAUCAUGAUCUGGUCAAAGAACAGUUUCAGGCGGGCAGUUUGACUGGGGCGGUCGCCUCCCAAAUGGUAACGGAGGCGUACAAAGGUUUCCUCUGAACGGGUAGAAAUCGUAUCUAGAGUGUAAAGGCAUAAGGAAGCUUGACUGUGAGACCUACAAGUCGAGCAGGGACGAAAGUCGGUCUUAGUGAUCUGACGGUGCUGAGUGGAAAGGCCGUCACUCAGCGGAUAAAAGUUACUCUAGGAUAACAGGCUGAUCUCCCCCAAGAGUUCACAUCGACGGGGAGGUUUGGCACCUCGAUGUCGGCUCAUCGCAUCCUGGGGCGGUAGUACGUCCCAAGGGUUGGGCUGUUCGCCCAUGAAAGCGGUACGCGAGCUGGGUUCAGAACGUCGUGAGACAGUUCGGUCCAUAUCCGGUGUAGGCGUUAGAAUAUUGAGAGGAGCCUUCUUUAGUACGAGAGGACCGAGAAGGACAUACCUCUGGUGUACCAGUUAUCGUGCCAACGGUAAACGCUGGGUAGCUAUGUAUGGAGAGGAUAACCGCUGAAAGCAUCUAAGUGGGAAGCCCACCUCAAGAUGAGUAUUCUCA